Molecule: transfer RNA, 55 nt
Filed under: Tyrophagus putrescentiae
Lineage: Eukaryota; Metazoa; Arthropoda; Arachnida; Sarcoptiformes; Acaridae
Description: tRNA-Asn
Source: RNAcentral
CCAAAUAAAGUUUUAUUUAAAUAUCUCUUUGUUAAUGAGAAGUCUAGAUUUUGGC